CACGGGGGUUGCGAGCGUUGUCCGGAAUUACUAGGCGUAAAGGGCAGGCAGGCGGAUCCAUAAGUUUAUCGUUUAAGGCGUCGGCUUAACCGGCGUAGGGCGGUAGAUACUGUGGAUCUGGAAUGCGGUUGGGGAAGACAGAAUUCCUGGUGUAGCGGUGGAAUGCGCAGAGAUCAGGAGGAAUACCGAAGGCGAAGGCAGUCUUCCAAGCCGUUAUUGACGCUCAACUGCGAAGGUGUGGGUAUAAAACAGGAUUAGAUACCCUGGUAGUCCCUGAG
This 278-nucleotide ribosomal RNA is filed under the name uncultured prokaryote. RNAcentral describes it as "partial 16S ribosomal RNA". It matches the Rfam family "Bacterial small subunit ribosomal RNA", at positions 524 to 801 of the family's 1533-position model. The record is from RNAcentral.